AACCCGGGUCACAGCAGUGGCAACACUGGAUCUUUAACUGCCAGGCCAUCAAGAACUCUGCAGUUGUAACAUUUUGAACUCUUUAAAAUUGCUACCCGCCCUCCAAGUCUACCCUGAACGUGUGAUUUCUCUUACCUUGGUCUAGUGUUUUUGCUCCAGCACCUUCUAUUCUUCGUAGCUUACACAUUUAUUGCUUUUAUUGUCUCUUUCCCCCCCCCCCCCCCCCGUGCUGGAACCAGUGCUCCAUGGAGGCAGGGUUUUUCCCCUCCUGUCUGAUUGCUGACAUGCUCCAAAUGUCUGGAAACAGCACCUGACAUUGGGUGGGUGCUCACUGAGUAUCUGUCAAGUGAAUGAAUGGACGAAAGCACCCAGGAAGAGCUUGGCUUGUCUGUCUUUGAGGAUCCGCGCGCGCAAUAGAUGUCUGAGGACGUGGUCCCCUGGGAGGUGCCCGCCCAGUCUGGCCACCUGCCCUUGACCCCAGAGGAAGGGCGACGCUGGUAGUGCCCAUUGCUCAGAUACAGGAAGGCUUUCUAGAACUUUGGGCAGGACAGUGAGGACCCUGGGAGAACGACCAGGUAGUGAGUAGAGCUGCCUGCAGCUAAGGAUUCUGAAGCCUGUGGUCCGACCGCAUUCCUGAACCUCUCCCCUCCCCCUCCUGUCCCCACAGCUUGGACCCCACCCUCUGGGCUUGAGAGGUAGAAAAAUGCUGGAUUGAGCAAUUGGGGCCGAGAUGAGAUCCCGGUUUACUCAGCCUCUCUCUUCUUGUCUAGUAGCUGGUGCCCGACCCACAGAAUUAAUCCAGGUUGUCCUGGCCAGCUCCACACCUGGAGCCAGGCGUGUCCCAUUACUCAGGGUCAAGUCCAGACCCCACCUCUCAGCCUGGUGCUUGGGCCCAGCCUAGACCUCUGUCAGCAGCUCCCCACCCCCGGCCCCUGCCAUGCAAUCCUUAGCUGUGCUCAGCAAGUCCAUUUCCAGUCUUGGCUCCCUUUUGCCCAUGACCUGGAUGUGACCUGACCCAUAUCCAGGUGCCCUCUUGGCAUCCUUAACCCACUGAGCGAGGCCAGGGAUCGAACCCACAACCUCAUGGUACUUAGUAGGAUUCAUUAACCACUGAGCCAUGACGUGAACUCCAAUGAUAUAUUUUUAAUUUUUAAUUUUGGCUGUGCCCAGGGCAUAUAGAAGUUCCCAGGCCAGGGAUCGAACCCAUACCACAGCAGUGACCCGAGCUGCUGCAUUGACAACCCUGCAUCCUUAACCUGCUGCAACCACAAGGGAACUCCUAUUUGGAGAAAGAUGGUGAGUAGGUUUGGAUUCAGGAUGUGGCAUUGUCACCUAAGGCCUCUGAGAAGACCUGGUUUAAUCCACACUUGACAGCAGAAUCCCCUUUUCAGGUGGUCAUUCAACACAUCGAAGCUCAGAGAGUUCAUGGUAUAGUGGAGAGGAUCCUGGCUUGGAACUCGGGGGAAGUGGGUUCUGAGGUUGCCACCUCCUGGUGUUGAGACUUCCAGCCUGUCUCACUUCACUUCCGGGCAUCCUCCUCUCCAAACCGAGGACAUUAACUGGCUUCCCGAUUCCACAGCUCAGUGACGUCAUGCCCAAGGAUACAUCACCGUUAUCUGUGAAAACGCUCCUGCAUCUGGGGAAGGCAGGUGCCCUUGUGUCAGUGCCUGGGAUGUCAGCCCACCCCAGUGGCUCUGAAAGCUCAGGACAGGUAGGGCCGGCGUGAUGGAGUGGGAAAGAGGACCGAGGUUCUUAGGCACAUGGAACUUCCGUAAAGUUGGCUGACUUGGAAGAGCCCGGCGUCGGAAGCCUGGCAUCAGAAUUGUACGGGACCGCUUGGAGGAGCCGUCCUCCUUUGCCACGGGUCGUGUGAUGCUAUCGUGUCUCCGCCGGGUGUUUGGGGAGGUGCAGGGAUCUGUCCCUAAUGAUUCUGGUGUUUCCAGAAGAUUGACUAGUGCGUGUCGGUCAGAGCAACCUCACAGUUAUCCUGAUCACAGCACACGCCCCCUCGCCUCGCAGUCCGGGAGGUGGUCUCUCCUCGGUGUCUCUGCUGCACCCGUAAGAGCCUCUGUCUUACUGGAAGGAAUAGCACACACGUGGUCGAAAACAAAAUCACGCCGUCCUGAAGGUUGAGAGUAUGAAGCAGCACGCACACGGCUUUCCACUCCCCUCUCCAGCCGCAUCGUAUGUUUAGUUCUCCUGACACUUGCUUCCACAGUUUUCGAGAAAAUGCUUAGAUGUUGUUUCGUGGUUUGCUAAAGUUAACACUAUCUCUUGGUUUCCUGUUAUGGAAGGUGAGGGGCUGUUUCUGCCAUGCCAACCUUGCUCCCCAAAUGUGGCAGUUUUUGUGCUUUUAUCGUAUCAGUGAGACCUUCAUGACGUGGCGGGGGGUGGCGGGGGAGCUGCCGCUGGGAACUUAUACCCGGGCUUUGGAAGGACCUGGUUCAAACCAAGGGUGGAAUUGAACAGCCCUCUGAAACUCAUGGUCUUUAAAGACUUUUCUUUUUCUUUUCUUUACUUUUUAAAACUGUUGUCUUUCUGUGAACCCGUGGGAGAAAUCGCUUUAGGUGUUAGGGCAAGAAUGGGGCUGCCCCUGAGCAGGUGGCUUAUUUAGUCUUAAGGACACGGGGGACCCUUUACCCUGCACAUUUCCCUCGCUCUAUGCUCUGGCUGCAAAGCUCCGUGCCAGAUUUGGGGCCCCCUCUCGUGCCGGGAGGUGGAACCGGAGGGGUCCUUGACCCCAGCCAGACCUCAUCUGGUGUGUGCCCCUCUUUUCUCUGGGUCUUUGCUCUGGAUCGGGAAAGACGCGGCGUGGGGACUUUAAUUCUCUUCCCUCCGUCCUCCCAGCCCCUCUGCGCUCUGAAAUCAGACCUGCUGAACUUGACCCCCUUUUCCUGGGGUUCGUGCCCACACCGUGCUCCGCCCUCCCCCCUCCUCCCAGAAUGGGAAGCAGCCACUCCAGAAAUAGGACGCGUGGCAGCCUGCCCCGUGUCUUUAAGGGUGAUUUAUUCCUCUGUUAGAGACACCGGGCUGUGUGAGGAUUUACCUCGAGUCCCUUCAGUGCUCCGGGCUGAGCCUUGUAAAAAGAUGCUCAGCAAUUAGAGCCGAGCGGAGCCGCCUUCGGCCGGGGCCUGUACAGGCUUUGACGAGAGUCGGCCAGAGGCCAGGGAGCCUCAUGUUGGCACGUUUGGCUCCCCUUUUCCUGAACCCUCAUCGCCUCGACUUAGGGGCUCAGAGUAACCAGACUGUCAGAGGCAGGAAGAUUGCCAGCAGCCGGGCUGCCUGGGGGUCUUAUACCCACCCCUUCAUCCUCCUUCCCUGCAGCUAUGCUGGCUCAGUGAUUUAGCCCCCCACCCCCCACCCUUUUUAGAGCAGUGUAGACCUUUCCCCUCUUUCAUAUACUGAACUUGUUCCUGGUGGGGUUGCACUUGACAGUGAGGUGGAGGGGUCUGUUCUGGUUGAAGCCCCCAGCAGCCCUCCUGCCGAGCAGACUUGUCUGCUCCUGAUACAGCCCACCGGGAUUUUAUUCCCUCUCUCCUGUGCAGCACACCCCCUAAUAGGCGGAUGCAUUGCUUUAUUUUCAAUUCCUUUCUCCAUAAAGGAUUCUUAGAGACCUGUGGAUUUCAGAACUGAGAGGGCCUCAGAAUUCGGUCCUGCUUCCAUUUCUGUGCAAUAAAGGGGCCCUCAGAGUUCCCUCUGUGGCGCAUUGGGUUAAGAACCUGACUGCAUUGGCUUGGUCACUGCGGAGUCUCUGAUUUGAUUGCUGGCUUAGCAUGAUGGGUUAAAGGAUCUGGCAUUGCUGCAACUGAGGUGCAGGGCACAAGCUGCGGCUCAGAUUCAGUCCCUAGUCCAGGAACCUCCAUAUGCUGUGGGUGUAGCCAUUGGGGGAAAAAAAAAAAGGCCCUUAUUUCUGAGCUCAGAGGUGCCAGGCUGGCUGCCUUCUGAGAUCUUAAGGUUUAGUUCUCUUAACAAUGAUGGAAUUAACUGUUUGAGGGAACUCUUCAGAAAGGCUUCAUUUGUUCAUUCAUUCAUUCAUUCAUUCAUCCAUUCAUCAUGGUUCAGCAAACCUAUAUUGAAUUUCUUCAGUGUGUAAGGCAUGUCAGCUGGGUGCUGUGGGCAGUGUAGACACCCAGUGGGAACACGUGGCCCUCUGCGUCCCAGGAGCCGACAAGCCCCUUGCCAAGCUGGGACACGCACCUGCCGUGCUCCAGCAUAAACCUUUUCUGGCUAGUGAUGCUGAGGGCCUGGUGGUGAUGAGAGCGGCUCAGAAACCAGCCUGGUCCACUCCUCUAUCGGGGACCGCACCUUCCGGGAGAGGGCUGCCUGCUGAGCAGGACUGGGGCAGUCUGUGUGUCCAGGCCUCCGGGGAGGCCAGGCCCAGCUCACUCUGACAUCUGGGCGGGUGGGAGGCCUCCUCGCUCUGCAGUCUCCUCCUCUGAUGGACUUGGCUUUUUGGAUUUUCCCCACGUACACCUGAGCCUCUUGAUUGACUCUGAGACUAAGCAGGAGCCACCGCUGUUCCCUUUGUUGAGCAGGGAGGGAAAAAAAAAAAAAAAA
RNAcentral lists this long non-coding RNA (4557 nucleotides) under Sus scrofa (pig). RNAcentral's name for it is "lncRNA (ENSSSCG00045022277.1)". The record is from RNAcentral. Lineage: Eukaryota; Metazoa; Chordata; Mammalia; Artiodactyla; Suidae.